This 346-nucleotide ribosomal RNA is filed under the name uncultured bacterium. RNAcentral describes it as "bacterial SSU rRNA". It matches the Rfam family "Bacterial small subunit ribosomal RNA", at positions 8 to 349 of the family's 1533-position model. The record is from RNAcentral.
AGAGUUUGAUCCUGGCUCAGGACGAACGCUGGCGGCGCGCCUAACACAUGCAAGUCGAACGAGAGAGAGGGAGCUUGCUUCCUCAAUCGAGUGGCGAACGGGUGAGUAACGCGUGAGGAACCUGCCUCAAAGAGGGGGACAACAGUUGGAAGCGACUGCUAAUACCGCAUAAGCCCACGGCUCGGCAUCGAGCAGAGGGAAAAGGAGCAAUCCGCUUUGAGAUGGCCUCGCGUCCGAUUAGCUAGUUGGUGAGGUAAUGGCCCACCAAGGCAACGAUCGGUAGCCGGACUGAGAGGUUGAACGGCCACAUUGGGACUGAGACACGGCCCAGACUCAUACGGGAGCA